Molecule: long non-coding RNA, 2225 nt
Organism: Empidonax traillii (willow flycatcher)
Lineage: Eukaryota; Metazoa; Chordata; Aves; Passeriformes; Tyrannidae
Exons: 2
Source: RefSeq, a predicted model, not a curated record
GGAAAUGAAGUUUUGUCACUUCAGUAAAUGAAUGCUACCAUCAGUGUUGCAAGGUAACAAAUUUUUUCAUAGCCUUUCUGCAUAGUUUUGUGCUAGGGGAGGAUAGAAAACCAGGAUAUUUUAUGGUCACCAACAUAAGACAUUAAUAAACACAGACUCAAAGAACUUUGAGAAGUGUGCCUAAUUAGUUUUUAUUUAGAAAAUCUGUUUUGGAAAACAGAGUCACAGCGAACAGUAAGGAAUAAUUAUUACAGAUUACAUUGGGAGGCAAAGUCUAUUAAAGCAGAAGACACAAAAGCAAGGAUAAAAAGGAAUUUUUCAAAUAUUUAAAGUGUAUCAAAUAAAUUAUUCACAUAAAGUGGAACUAAGUAAAAAUAUAGGUUCAAUUUCCAGGAAUGAUUUCCUUUAUAAAUUGCAAAACUGUAAUAUGAAUGAAUUUGCAUUAGGUGCACUUGUGAGGCUUGUAAUGGUGGCCUCUCCUUAUGGAAGCAAAUCAACACUUUAUUCAGAUAUCUGCUUGUUCUGGCAUUGCUGUAGCAUCUGCUAAGAAGAUCUUGUAUAGAUUUCAGUCUUCUUCAUAAAAAGUUGUUCUACAGCUGAAGAAAUUUGUGUGAACACAGUCUGUUCUCUUUCAAAACAAACUAAACAAACUUUCAAUACAAACUAAGAAUGCUAGUCCAGGUGUGUGGAAAGCCACUCAGGAAGAGUUUAGAGUAACAGAUUCAGCUGUCAUUGAUUGGUUUUUGGCAGAGAAAUGAACACUUCCAAAGUGUUAAAAAUAUGAGGUACACUAGUUAUAAUGAGGAUAAUCAUUAUGACAGCAGAUUAUUACAGGAGAUGGUAAGUGCUGUACUGAAUGCCUUUGUAAAAACGGUGUCUAACUCACUCACAAAUUGUGGAACUCACAGGAGUCACUGGGUGAAAUUCCCUGCCCUGUGUUAUGGGUAGAAUCAGAAUGGGUGAUUACAGGGGUAUCUUUUAAAUCUAUGAACCUUUAAAACUAGGCUAUUAUUUCACAUAUAUUUUUUUAUGUCUACAAUCUUUUCUUCCUAUAACCCCCCCUUGUCACUGUAGUUGCUCAGAUUUGCCAGGUUAUCUCUUCAUCUUCAACAAUAUGUUACAUUUUACUACUUGUGAAUAUAACUUAGUGAUGAAUUCUUUCAGGUGCUGCUUUCUUGCUUGCUUUCAAGAAUGUUUGUGUUCUUGAACUAGAAGGCAAAAACACAAAUAAGAAAAAAACCCCAGGAUCAUCCUUGAUGACAUUCAAGAUGUUACUGUGGAAGGUAUUAACAUAUUAUACGCUUUUAUAAGCAGAUUUCAGUAUAUCAUGUUAUGUUAUAAACAAGAGGAUACAAUAAUUGAAAAUUUAUGUUUUGUUCUGUAAUAUCUGUAUGUCCAAAAGUCUCUCUGAUGAGUGUUGUCUUUCUGUCAACCACUGCUGCAGAAAUGCAACUUUAAAAUGUCUUUAAAACUGUGUAAUUAAUGUUUUUAACCUCUUACAGUUAACAUAAGAGCAUAUUAACAUUUAACAUAUGCAGUUUUAUUUACUGUGCUCAACCUGAAUUGAAAUCCUAUGAUUUUAGCAUCUGUUUGAGACACCAAAGUGGGCCUGGGCAUCCAAAUUUGGGCUGUUAGCUCUGGUUGAAUAAUUUAGGUUACUACAAGGAUUGUAGGGGGAAGUAACACAGUACCUGUGUAAUUCAUGCUUCUAAACCGUCAUGACUACAAAAGACUUAUAGGCACAUCUUUGUAGUUUUGCUGCUUAUUAGAUGGAUCAGUCACUUGUAAGUACUGUAGUGUCAUUUUGUUGUAAAAAAUACGCGUAUUAUGAAAAGCUGAGCACAAAUUUAUAAGGUUGAAUGUUACUAAUGAGAGCAGGUUGAGUAGAGCUGUAGCUGGAUGUGCAUAGUGACAAAAUUACAGUUUUGGCAAUGUACCUGGCUAAAUUUAUUUUCACCUUACGUGAAAUAAUUAAAAAGUUGCACCUUCAUAUAAAUGACUCCUUAUGCGUGUGAACACUCAUUUGUAUGUACAAAACCAUGUUUCAGCAAGUGUCUGACAAUGAUAUUUCACCCUGACAGAAUUUUUAUUUUUUUGUAAUUAAUCUUUUGCCGCAUUAAUUAAACGUGCCAAAAGUCUGUAUAAAAUACAUAAUGAAAGUUUUGUUCCACAGAACCUAUUUUAGAGGCCUUAUGAGAAAAAAGCACUUGCACAGUGAGAAAAAA